Molecule: non-coding RNA, 72 nt
Organism: Desmophyllum pertusum
Lineage: Eukaryota; Metazoa; Cnidaria; Anthozoa; Scleractinia; Caryophylliidae
Source: the annotation of a GenBank genome assembly
GAUGUGGUGGCCUAAUGGUUAGUGCGUUGGACUCCGGUUUGAGCAGCCGGGUUCGAGCCCUGGCCAGGGUCU